This 254-nucleotide ribosomal RNA is filed under the name uncultured bacterium. RNAcentral's name for it is "partial 16S ribosomal RNA". It matches the Rfam family "Bacterial small subunit ribosomal RNA", at positions 524 to 776 of the family's 1533-position model. The record is from RNAcentral.
UACGUAGGGUGCGAGCGUUGUCCGGAAUUACUGGGCGUAAAGAGCUCGUAGGCGGUUUGUCGCGUCGUCCGUGAAAACUUGGGGCUCAACCCCAAGCUUGCGGGCGAUACGGGCAGACUUGAGUACUGCAGGGGAGACUGGAAUUCCUGGUGUAGCGGUGAAAUGCGCAGAUAUCAGGAGGAACACCAACAGCGAAGGCAGCACUCUGGGCCGGUACUGACGCUGAGGAGCGAAAGCAUGGGGGAGCGAACAGG